Molecule: non-coding RNA, 148 nt
Organism: Homo sapiens (human)
Lineage: Eukaryota; Metazoa; Chordata; Mammalia; Primates; Hominidae
Rfam family: Metazoan signal recognition particle RNA
About the family: The signal recognition particle (SRP) is a universally conserved ribonucleoprotein.
Source: Rfam
GCCAGGCAUGGUGGUGCAUGCCUGUAGUCCCAGCUAUUUGGGGGCCUGAGGUAGGAGAAUCACUUGAGCCCGGGAGGUCAAGGCUGCAGUGAGCCGUGAUUGCACCACUGUACUCCAGCCUGGGCGACAGAGUGACAUCCUGUCUCAA